This 71-nucleotide transfer RNA is filed under the name Urocitellus parryii (Arctic ground squirrel). RNAcentral describes it as "Spermophilus parryii (Arctic ground squirrel) tRNA". It matches the Rfam family "tRNA". Rfam says of the family: Transfer RNA (tRNA) molecules are approximately 80 nucleotides in length. Their secondary structure includes four short double-helical elements and three loops (D, anti-codon, and T loops). Further hydrogen bonds mediate the characteristic L-shaped molecular structure. tRNAs have two regions of fundamental functional importance: the anti-codon, which is responsible for specific mRNA codon recognition, and the 3' end, to which the tRNAs corresponding amino acid is attached (by aminoacyl-tRNA synthetases). tRNAs cope with the degeneracy of the genetic code in two manners: having more than one tRNA (with a specific anti-codon) for a particular amino acid; and 'wobble' base-pairing, i.e. permitting non-standard base-pairing at the 3rd anti-codon position. RNAcentral also lists the same sequence under 1 other name. Lineage: Eukaryota; Metazoa; Chordata; Mammalia; Rodentia; Sciuridae. The record is from Rfam by way of RNAcentral.
GUGGUUGUAGUUCAGUGGUAGAAUGCUUGCCUAGCAUGUGUGAGGCACUGGGUUCGACUCUCAGCACCAUA